Molecule: ribosomal RNA, 247 nt
Filed under: uncultured bacterium
Lineage: Bacteria
Description: partial 16S ribosomal RNA
Rfam family: Bacterial small subunit ribosomal RNA
Source: RNAcentral
ACCGCGAGGUUUAGCAAAUCUCUUAAAGCCGCUCUCAGUUCGGAUUGUAGGCUGCAACUCGCCUACAUGAAGUCGGAAUCGCUAGUAAUCGCGGAUCAGCAUGCCGCGGUGAAUACGUUCCCGGGCCUUGUACACACCGCCCGUCACACCAUGAGAGUUUGUAACACCCAAAGCCGGUGGGGUAACCUUUUGGAGCCAGCCGUCUAAGGUGGGACAGAUGAUUAGGGUGAAGUCGUAACAAGGUAUC